UCUCAGCAGAUGACAUAGUACCACCA
Molecule: non-coding RNA, 26 nt
Filed under: Homo sapiens (human)
Lineage: Eukaryota; Metazoa; Chordata; Mammalia; Primates; Hominidae
Source: RNAcentral